Clupea harengus (Atlantic herring) is the source of this 806-nucleotide long non-coding RNA. Lineage: Eukaryota; Metazoa; Chordata; Actinopteri; Clupeiformes; Clupeidae. The record is from Ensembl.
GGUGAUUUUUGUUCGGAUACAUCUGGUGCAGUCUGCUCCACUGAACCACGAGGCAGCCCUGUAAUGUGAAUGGUGAGACAGCUCUGUAAUGUGAAUGGUGUAGUGGUGAGACAGCUCUGUAAUGUGAAUGGAGAGUGAGACAGCUCUGUAAUGUGAAUGGUGAGACAGCUCUGUAAUGUGAAUGGUGUAGUGGUGAGACAGCUCUGUAAUGUGAAUGGUGAGACAGCUCUGUAAUGUGAAUGGUGAGACAGCUCUGUAAUGUGAAUGGUGUAGUGGUGAGACAGCUCUGUAAUGUGAAUGGUGAGUGAGACAGCUCUGUAAUGUGAAUGGUGUAGUGGUGAGUGAGACAGCUCUGUAAUGUGAAUGGUGAGACAGCUCUGUAAUGUGAAUGGUGAGACAGCUCUGUAAUGUGAAUGGUGUAGUGGAGAGAGAGACAGCUCUGUAAUGUGAAUGGUGUAGUGGGGAGAGAGACAGCUCUGUAAUGUGAAUGGUGAGACAGCUCUGUAAUGUGAAUGGUGAGACAGCUCUGUAAUGUGAAUGGUGAGACAGCUCUGUAAUGUGAAUGGUGUAGUGGUGAGACAGCUCUGUAAUGUGAAUGGUGUAGUGGAGAGUGAGACAGCUCUGUAAUGUGAAUGGUGAGAGAGACAGCUCUGUAAUGUGAAUGGUGUAGUGGUGAGUGAGACAGCUCUGUAAUGUGAAUGGUGUAGUGGAGAGAGAGACAGCUCUGUAAUGUGAAUGGUUGGAGAGUGAGACAGCUCUGUAAUGUGAAUGGUGUAGUGGUGAGACAGCUCUGUAAUGUGAAUGGU